This 1276-nucleotide long non-coding RNA is filed under the name Taeniopygia guttata (zebra finch). RNAcentral describes it as "lncRNA (ENSTGUG00000018855.1)". Lineage: Eukaryota; Metazoa; Chordata; Aves; Passeriformes; Estrildidae. The record is from RNAcentral.
CAAAUAUGAAGACACACAAGCAUGAUUUAUUGAUAGAGCAGAAGCUAUUUAUAGUACCUUUAACUGUAUUAUUAAAACUGAAGGUAAAUAAUUAAUGGGAUGAAGGAAAGAUACAUACAACUCUGGCAGCUUUGAUAGGAAGCAUUCCUGUCUUGCAGUAAUUAAAAUAAAAUAUAUUCUAUUUGUAUGUCUUUCUGGCAAAAAAAGAUUAUAUCCCCAUUUCACCUGCAUGCUAAAAGACACUGUGUGUGUGGCCACAGAAGCUGUGCAGCCAGUGUGAGAGGAGGGAAAAUGCUCAUAGCUGUCUUGAACCAGAACCAUAAGCACUUGUCAGACAGUCUAAGCAGUCCCAACCUUUCACCCAAACACGUCCCAAGGCAAGCAGUGCCACGGCCUCCCUGCCUUACUGUCCAGCUGGGAGAAUGGAACUGUGUCCAUGGGGUGCACGGGAAACCAUUCCCAAGCUCAGCCCCAGGAAAACCUUGAAGGGGGAGAGAGAAAUCUGUUCACAGCACUGCAACUGCCCCACCCUUCUGAAACCAGUGGUGCUCUCAUGUGUGGCCUGAAGAUGAACAGAAAUCUAGAGAUUAAAGCGCUUUCAGUAAACAAAACAGAUAAAAUUUGUUUCUGGCUGCAUUUUUUCAGUAAUAUUUCAGCUUUCCAAAGGUAUUAAAAAAAACCAAAAAAACAACCAAACUGUGAAAAAGUUGUUAAUUUUUUACAGCAUCAGGGCACUUGUGGUGAGUCCUUCCCAGUGAGCCCACCAAGCCCCAGUGAGAUCUGUGCCUGUUCUCAUGCUCAGAGAAUUCUUUUCCCAGGUCUAUCCUCUCCAGUGCCUAUUGGUAUGUCAAGGGAGGGUGUCAGAGGAUGGAGCAGGGCCCUUCUUGAUGGUGCCAAGAAAUAGGACAAAUAAAGAAGGGGUAGAAACUGAUGCACAGGAAGUUCCACCUGCACAUGAAGAACUUCUUUGUUGUACCUGUGACUGAGCAUUGGAACAGGUUGUCCAGAGAGGUUGUGGAAUCUCCCUCACUGGAGAUACUCAAGAACCUGGAUGCAAUCCUGUGCCCUGUGCUCUAUGAUGACCAUGCUUGAGCAGGGAGGUUGGACCAGAUGACAAACUGUGGUGCCUUCCAAGAAUGACACAUUCUGUAAAGAAAGCUGAAAGUUGACCAAGCACUAAAAUCAAUAACCAACAUUAGAAUGAAAUCUUCUGCAAGUUCCGACAGUUCUCUCAUAGUUUCUAAUAAAGCCUGGCACGUAUUACAAGCAACCGGUC